GCUACAAAUUGACGUAUAUAAAGAAAAGAAAGGGGAAUUCUACCGCGAUAUUUGCCGACAAAAAUCGAUACAGAAAAUAGAACAAAUGACAGAAAUACAAAACAAGCUACAGAAGCGGAAGUGGGAAGGUUCUUGUAUUUUGACUGUAAAUAGAUACCGCUUGCUAAUCAUCACAGGCUCAUUUGCAGAUAACUGAGUUAUCUGCUAGCAGAUAACUGAAUUUUCUGUAGGUUGCGUGAUUGCGCGAUUUAACUGUAAGCUCUUAGCCAAUCAAAUUGCUUUUACCAACUACAAUGUAUAAUAAUUAUAGUUAUUUAGCCCGCACAGACACAAAGUUUAAUAAAAUGUAAAAUAUACUAUUUUUAAACUUAAAAUUUGAAGUCUAAGCUAAAUAUUAAAUUUUACACAAAAAUAUAACACUCUGUCUUUACAUCUAAACCAGAAAUAUCUAGUCAAAUAUUGAAUCUCAUAGACUGUCGUAUGUACAAUGUCAAUGGAAAGGAAGUAUAUGACGAUACGAGAUUCAUAAUCUAUUACAAUUGUUCCUGCCCAUACUGUUCGAUCCUUGCUGCCCAAUGCUGCUGGCGUCUUCAUAUUUAACAACGAUCGGGCUUGUGUGUCUUGAGAAGCGUUCAUUUAAUGUAGGUAACGUCUGUGUAUAAAAACAGAAUAUGAAACAUGGAUUCGACAAGUCAAACUCGCAUCUAACCAUAAGGGACCGGUCAUUAAUUAUAG
Paramuricea clavata is the source of this 735-nucleotide non-coding RNA. The record is from the annotation of a GenBank genome assembly. NCBI's taxonomy places the organism in Eukaryota, Metazoa, Cnidaria, Anthozoa, Malacalcyonacea, Plexauridae.